GACAUGUACGGAACCUUUAGAGAUAGAGGGGUGCUCGAAAGAGAGCCGUAACACAGGUGCUGCAUGGCUGUCGUCAGCUCGUGUCGUGAGAUGUUGGGUUAAGUCCCGCAACGAGCGCAACCCUUGUCAUUAGUUGCUACAUUCAGUUGGGCACUCUAAUGAGACUGCCGGUGACAAGCCGGAGGAAGGUGGGGAUGACGUCAAGUCCUCAUGGCCCUUAUAGGUGGGGCUACACACGUCAUACAAUGGCUGGUACAAAGGGUUGCCAACCCGCGAGGGGGGAGCCAAUCCCAUAAAGCCAGUCGUAGUCCGGAUCGUAGUCUGCAACUCGACUACGUGAAGUCGGAAUCGCUAGUAAUCGUGGAUCAGAAUGUCACGGUGAAUACGUUCCCGGGUCUU
This 399-nucleotide ribosomal RNA is filed under the name uncultured Rhodoferax sp. Its description in RNAcentral is "bacterial SSU rRNA". It matches the Rfam family "Bacterial small subunit ribosomal RNA", at positions 983 to 1382 of the family's 1533-position model. The record is from RNAcentral. Lineage: Bacteria; Pseudomonadati; Pseudomonadota; Betaproteobacteria; Burkholderiales; Comamonadaceae.